UGAGGAAUCUUCCACAAUGGGGGCAACCCUGAUGGAGCAACGCCGCGUGAAGGAUGAAGGUCUUAGGAUUGUAAACUUCUUUUAUAAGUGAAGAAUAUGACUGUAACUUAUGAAUAAGCACCGGCUAACUACGUGCCAGCAGCCGCGGUCAUACGUAGGGUGCAAGCAUUAUCCGGAGUGACUGGGCGUAAAGAGUUGCGUAGGCGGUUUGUUAAGUAGACAGUGAAACCUGGUGGCUCAACCACACAGACUAUUAUCUAAACUGGCAAACUCGAGAAUGGUAGAGGUAACUGGAAUUUCUAGUGUAGGAGUGGAAUCCGUAGAUAUUAGAAGGAACACCAAUGGCGUAGGCAGGUUACUGGACCAUUUCUGACGCUAAGGCACGAAAGCGUGGGGAGCGAACCGG
RNAcentral lists this ribosomal RNA (406 nucleotides) under uncultured bacterium. RNAcentral describes it as "bacterial SSU rRNA". It matches the Rfam family "Bacterial small subunit ribosomal RNA", at positions 355 to 776 of the family's 1533-position model. The record is from RNAcentral.